AAAUUGAAGAGUUUGAUCAUGGCUCAGAUUGAACGCUGGCGGCAGGCCUAACACAUGCAAGUCGAACGGUAACAGGAAGCAGCUUGCUGCUUUGCUGACGAGUGGCGGACGGGUGAGUAAUGUCUGGGAAACUGCCUGAUGGAGGGGGAUAACUACUGGAAACGGUGGCUAAUACCGCAUAAUGUCGCAAGACCAAAGAGGGGGACCUUCGGGCCUCUUGCCAUCAGAUGUGCCCAGAUGGGAUUAGCUUGUUGGUGAGGUAACGGCUCACCAAGGCGACGAUCCCUAGCUG
RNAcentral lists this ribosomal RNA (292 nucleotides) under Salmonella enterica subsp. enterica serovar Soerenga. RNAcentral's name for it is "partial 16S ribosomal RNA". It matches the Rfam family "Bacterial small subunit ribosomal RNA", at positions 1 to 289 of the family's 1533-position model. The record is from RNAcentral. Lineage: Bacteria; Pseudomonadati; Pseudomonadota; Gammaproteobacteria; Enterobacterales; Enterobacteriaceae.